GAUGAACGCUGACAGAAUGCUUAACACAUGCAAGUCAACUUGAACUUCGGUUUGGGUGGCGGACGGGUGAGUAACGCGUAACGAACUUGCCUCACAGAUAGGGACAACAUUUGGAAACGAAUGCUAAUACCUGAUAUUAUGAUUAUAUGGCAUCGUAUAAUUAUGAAAGCUAUAUGCGCUGUGAGAGAGCUUUGCGUCCCAUUAGCUAGUUGGAGAGGUAACGGCUCACCAAGGCGAUGAUGGGUAGCCGGCCUGAGAGGGUGAUCGGCCACAAGGGGACUGAGACACGACCCUUACUCCUACGGGAGGCAGCAGUGGGGAAUAUUGGACAAUGGACCAAGAGUCUGAUCCAGCAAUUCUGUGUGCACGAUGAAGUUUUUCGGAAUGUAAAGUGCUUUCAGUUGGGAAGAAAAAAAUGACGGUACCAACAGAAGAAGUGACGGCUAACUACGUG
RNAcentral lists this ribosomal RNA (454 nucleotides) under uncultured bacterium. Its description in RNAcentral is "partial 16S ribosomal RNA". It matches the Rfam family "Bacterial small subunit ribosomal RNA", at positions 28 to 507 of the family's 1533-position model. The record is from RNAcentral.